GGUACAGAGAGUAGCUUGCUACUUUGCUGACUGAGCGGCGGACGGGUGAGUAAUGCUUGGGAACAUGCCUUGAGGUGGGGGACAACAGUUGGAAACGACUGCUAAUACCGCAUAAUGUCUACGGACCAAAGGGGGCUUCGGCUCUCGCCUUUAAUUGGCCCAAGUGGGAUUAGCUAGUUGGUGAGGUAAUGGCUCACCAAGGGCGACGAUCCCUAGCUGGUUUGAGAGGAUGAUCAGCCACACUGGGACUGAGACACGGCCCAGACUCCUACGGGAGGCAGCAGUGGGGAAUAUUGCACAAUGGGCGCAAGCCUGAUGCAGCCAUGCCGCGUGUGUGAAGAAGGCCUUCGGGUUGUAAAGCACUUUCAGUCAGGAGGAAAGGUUAAUAGUUAAUACCUGCUAGCUGUGACGUUACUGACAGAAGAAGCACCGGCUAACUCCGUGCCAGCAGCCGCGGUAAUACGGAGGGUGCGAGCGUUAAUCGGAAUUACUGGGCGUAAAGCGUACGCAGGCGGUUUGUUAAGCGAGAUGUGAAAGCCCCGGGCUCAACCUGGGAACUGCAUUUCGAACUGGCAAACUAGAGUGUGAUAGAGGGUGGUAGAAUUUCAGGUGUAGCGGUGAAAUGCGUAGAGAUCUGAAGGAAUACCGAUGGCGAAGGCAGCCACCUGGGUCAACACUGACGCUCAUGUACGAAAGCGUGGGGAGCAAACGGGAUUAGAUACCCCGGUAGUCCACGCCGUAAACGACUGUCUACUAGAAGCUCGGAGCCUCGGUUCUGUUUUUCAAAGCUAACGCAUUAAGUAGACCGCCUGGGGAGUACGGCCGCAAGGUUAAAACUCACAAUGAAUUGACGGGGGCCCGCACAAGCGGUGGAGCAUGUGGUUUAAUUCGAUGCAACGCGAAGAACCUUACCUACACGUUGACAUACAGAGACUACCAU
RNAcentral lists this ribosomal RNA (940 nucleotides) under Alteromonas sp. UST050418-032. Its description in RNAcentral is "bacterial SSU rRNA". It matches the Rfam family "Bacterial small subunit ribosomal RNA", at positions 65 to 1001 of the family's 1533-position model. The record is from RNAcentral. Lineage: Bacteria; Pseudomonadati; Pseudomonadota; Gammaproteobacteria; Alteromonadales; Alteromonadaceae.